GAUGAACGCUGGCGGCGUGCCUAAUACAUGCAAGUCGAACGAGAUCUUCGGAUCUAGUGGCGGACGGGUGAGUAACACGUUGGUACCUACCCCGAAGUGGGGAAUAACUGCCCGAAAGGGUGGCUAAUACCGCAUAAUACCGUAAGGUUAAAGCAUUUAUGCGCUUCGGGAGGGGCCUGCGUCCCAUUAGCUAGUUGGUAGGGUAAUUGCCUACCAAGGCGACGAUGGGUAGCUGGAUCGAGAGGUUGACCAGCCGCACUGGGACUGAGAUACGGCCCAGACUCCUACGGGAGGCAGCAGUAAGGAAUCUUCCACAAUGGACGAAAGUCUGAUGGAGCAACGCCGCGUGCAGGAUGACGGCCUU
This 364-nucleotide ribosomal RNA is filed under the name uncultured bacterium. Its description in RNAcentral is "bacterial SSU rRNA". It matches the Rfam family "Bacterial small subunit ribosomal RNA", at positions 28 to 418 of the family's 1533-position model. The record is from RNAcentral.